AUUGGCUGCGCGCCUCCGCCCCGCCCCAAUGGGCCGCGACACCGCCUCUCUGAGCGGAGCGCAGCCACGUGGACGGCGGCGCGGUUGCAGGUGGGCUUUGGUCGCUCCGCACCGCACCACGAGCGUGGGAUUCAUCGAGGCCGGGCAGCUCGCCCUCGCCUUGGCCCGGGGCUUCACGGCGGCAGAAAAUGGGCGUGAACUUCACGGUGAGCAACGAGGACACGGUGAAGAGCAGCGACGUCCUCUUCCUGGCCAUGAAGGCCCCCAUUUACCCCAUUCAUCCUGGACGAGGUGGGGCCUGACAUCGAGGAGCGUCACACCGUGGUCUCCUGCGCUGCCGGGAGGGCCGGGUGGUGCUGAGCCGGGCAGGGCCAGCAGGACGGCAGAGCGCUGGCAGUGGCCUCGAGCUGACCCCAGCACUGCCUGCCGUCCCCAGCGAAGCGUUGUGCUGUGCCCAGCUGGCUGCUUUGGGCCACCUUUGCUUCAUCAGAAUAAGCUGCAGGGCUCCCUAUGGCAGGUCUUUUAUUACGUUAAAGGCUAUCAGAUCGCUUUUUCUCUCCUGAAUUUCUGCAGGCUUUGUGCUCAGUGUCUGCAGGAGAUGUUUUGGAGCCGAUGGGGCAGCUGUGGAGGUUUCUUAAGUGAAAUAAAGGGUUAUUUUCA
This 660-nucleotide long non-coding RNA is filed under the name Gallus gallus (chicken). Lineage: Eukaryota; Metazoa; Chordata; Aves; Galliformes; Phasianidae. The record is from RNAcentral.